CUAGCUUGACUGCGAGCGUGACGGCGCGAGCAGGUGCGAAAGCAGGUCAUAGUGAUCCGGUGGUUCUGAAUGGAAGGGCCAUCGCUCAACGGAUAAAAGGUACUCCGGGGAUAACAGGCUGAUACCGCCCAAGAGUUCAUAUCGACGGCGGUGUUUGGCACCUCGAUGUCGGCUCAUCACAUCCUGGGGCUGAAGUAGGUCCCAAGGGUAUGGCUGUUCGCCAUUUAAAGUGGUACGCGAGCUGGGUUUAGAACGUCGUGAGACAGUUCGGUCCCUAUCUGCCGUGGGCGCUGGAGAAUUGAGGGGGGCUGCUCCUAGUACGAGAGGACCGGAGUGGACGCAUCACUGGUGUUCGGGUUGUCAUGCCAAUGGCACUGCCCGGUAGCUAAAUGCGGAAGAGAUAAGUGCUGAAAGCAUCUAAGCACGAAACUUGCCCCG
Molecule: ribosomal RNA, 438 nt
Filed under: Klebsiella pneumoniae
Lineage: Bacteria; Pseudomonadati; Pseudomonadota; Gammaproteobacteria; Enterobacterales; Enterobacteriaceae
Description: partial 23S ribosomal RNA
Rfam family: Bacterial large subunit ribosomal RNA
Source: RNAcentral